CCUGGGGGAGGGGGUGUAGGGGGCGGAGGGGGAGGGUGAACGAUGUUUCUUUUUUUUCGUUUAGUUUAAAAAUGUUUCGUGCUGUGAUUUGCUAUGUAGUGUUGAGCCUUCAUAAUGUAUCGUCUUUGUAUUUUUUUUUAUGGGUGGCGUGUUUUACCAUUUCUUGAAGGGCGCGGUGGAAUUUUCUGACGUUACUGAACCUAGAAAUAAAUAAUAUGUUCUCUGACGUUCCUAACAAUAAGCUUUGAUAUUGUCGAUAGAGGUUUGUUUUGAUCAAACGUUUAUUAGGGACCAGCCCUGACCAGGAGUUACGUUAUUAGCAAUGAUGUCCCUCGAUCUUGCUCUUGCUCUUGCUGUACAUGUGACCCGUUGGAGUGAAUGAACAGCAGAGGGAGGUGUGGAAGCAAGAGGUUGAAAGCAGGAGGGAAUUUCUGCUGGAUUUCUCGACCCAUUUCCUGGCUUCUCUCUUCCGCCCGAUUUCGCCACGAGACUCCCUGACUGACAAUUUUGACAUCGCCCUGCCAAAGAAGACAAGGGGAAGGAAGAAGCAGCAGCCAUCAGAGGAGGAGGAGGAGGAGGAGGAGGGAGGAAGAAGAGCCAGGUUUCGCUCCUCCACUGGAUCUCCUCAAAGGACCGACCGAGAGAGUGACGUCCGGCAAAUCGCUCAGCAGUGCUUUCGAGGGCUCUCCCAGGCGCUGCUCAAGAACCAGGACCGGGCAGGCAAGGUGAACGACCCUUCCAUCUUCCCUGACCUCUGCACGUCACACCGCAAGAACUUAAUGCACAUGUUGCGGAACCACCAGAAGAGUGUGCGGCGUCCCGCAGGCAGGCAGGCAGGCAGGCAGGCAGACCGAGACGCCAGCCAUUCAAUUCUGCCGAGGGAAGGAAGUCGUGUUAGUCAACUCUGAUGACUUGUACUUUUCUCUGCAAGGGACUGUUCUGUAAGCCAGUCACAGAAGAUGUGAACUGUAUCUGUACUAUGAAGUCUUAUAAAAAAAGUUAAGGCCCCAAACCCAUUUAGCUAAUAUCCCCGGACACUUUUUUAGGUAUAAUUGACUGAGGUACAUUUUUCGGGCUACUUUUCAAGAUGUUUUUGAGCUGUAUGCUGAUAUAUCUAGUUGCUUUGAUCUUUUUUAAAAGCUAAUUCUAUAUAUAUUGAAGGGAGGAACUAAUUUUCAUACAGAAAAAAAACAUAAUAUAAAAAGAAUUAUAUAUAUGAAUUGGAAGCAAGAUAUAAGAGAAGACAACGAAGGGAACUAACAAGAGGAGAGAUUGUAUACAUAAAGAGCUCAAAAGUCAUUGAAAAAGCAAUGGAAAUUAAGAGACAAUAAGAACAUAUGAAAUAAAAGACGUGGAAACAAGAAGAAAAUAAGACAGACAUGAGAUUAUUACUAUGACAUAAAUACCUUAGACAAAGAGAAAGCAGAUAACAACAUAUCACAGACUAAAAUAUUUGAGGCGUACGGCAGAGAAGUGAGGUGACAUUAGGAAUGGCGACCCUUGUGUAAAUUGUACGCAAUUAGUAUCAUAACAUAGCAAUUUAACUCUAAUUUGCACUGGGAAAGACAGACAGACUCUACCCCUCCAAGGAUGAACGAGGGACGAAUCAAAAUGGAAGCUCAACUUUUAUGGGGCAGACGGAGGGUCCCUUUCCCUUGUAACGUACAUCAUGACGAGCAAUAUGGCAAUAAUUAUGUUCUAGUUAGCAAGGGGGGAAAGGAAGAACAAGAUAUAGUUACUUGCAAGGGAAAAUAAACCUUGCAUAGGAUGAGCGGAGGGCUGGAAGUCGCGUAAUCUGUUCUCAGUGUGUGAACGUACUCUAGUAUACGUAAGAAUAGGUCAUCACCGUGCCUUAGGAUUUCUCUGCCGUAAGCCUCGUUUAUACGUUAAGAGAUGAGGAGGGAGGGAAACAAGCAAAUAAUGGAACUCUAUAUAUACGAUACAGUGAAAAGGAUUUACCGAGAAGGAUGUACGUAUGAGAGGAGGAAAGUGAGGAGGAGAAGAGAGAGAUUACGGUAAGUAAAGGGAAGUAAAACAGAUGAUGAUAUAUAUAUAUAAAUAAAACUAAAUAAAGAAGGAAUGAUUAGAACUGAGAGAGAAAGGUACAUCACAGAGGAGGAAAGUCUGGAAUUUGAGGAAGACAAGGAGGAAGGAGCGCCAGCCAUGGAGUCUACCAGCGUCAAGGAGCCGAUUCAAGGUACGUCUCAAACUUCCCUUCCUAAGAUCUAUGAGGCAGACCCUUCUGCCCCUCACGUCAGCUACUUGCAAAGGUCAAUAAGGAGAUCAAUCAAGUUCUCACGAGUCUUGUUUUAAGAUUCAUGGUAAGGAGAAAGUUAAAACUACCACCUGGGUCAUCAAACUGCCCCUGGAAAUUCUCACAACUCCUACAAAAGCCUGUCAAAUGUGUGCGCUUGGAACGAUAUUUUUUAAGAAUGUGACUGUCAGAUGCCAAAAAGGAGAUCAAUCGGGUUCUAAUGGAGUGGUUUUGAAGGUUCAUGGUACAUAGGAAGGGUUAAUCUAUCACCAGGGUCAUAAAACUGCCCCUGGAAAUGCCCAAAACUCCUACGGAAGCCUUAAAUACAAGUCUCUCGGGAUGGCUGUUUCAAGAAUGUGAGCCUCGGACAUCUCCGCUCCUCACAUCAGCUACUUCCAAAGGCCGAACUCUUGUCACACCCACUUGCCGACACCUUGGGCCGCAAGAGUCACCAUCCAUAACUGAUGACUGCGUAUUUUGAGUAAUUAUCAAACCCAAAAGUCACACCCACGUGUGCACCAAAUAACUUUUUUUCAUAUUGGUUACUUUAUUCAAUUAGCGUGAAUUUAGUUAGCGCGACCGCGUUCAUCCACCUAAUUCUCACGCUAAAUGGGGCUCUACUGUACUAACAUAGCUCAUAGUAGUAUUCCCACUUUUAAUUAACAUCUUGUACAGCAGUGUUUCUCUCUCCCUGUGAACUGUUUCCCUGCACAUGAAUGCCUCGGCUGUGACGGGUCUUCAUCAACAGUGCUGCCAGUGAGUGGCCUCACCUGAACACGAGUCAUCGCUCCACACAGCAGGUGACCUGACGAGCCUGGCCUGACAAGCACCUGACAGCUGCCCACCACCUUAACAAUGAGGGAAAUGACACUUGAGCGGCUUGACAGUUCAGGGUCAAGGCCGCCUCCACCCCCAUUCCUAUUCAAAUACACUGGAAUACCAUAUUUGGGUGUGUUUGUAUUGGUAUAACUAUUGAUAGAAAUCAAAGCAUUCUCAUUGUGAUAGGAAUACAAGGGAAAAGUAUUUGUAUUGUGCAAAUAAUUAUCUGAGGAACACUUCAAAAUCUAUCAUCUGUAAUAGCAGGCGUUACAGGUCCGCACAGCCUCCCGGGGGACUUGUUAGCACUGUGUUGAGUACAGGGUUAUGAGCUCUUGUACAUCUUUACAACACUGCUGCUGUUAUGCCAAGAAGGUGUAUUCAUUCAUAUCAAAACAGCCUUCUUGUUAGCACUGUGUUGAGUACAGGGUUAUGAGCUACACUACCUUGUACAUCUUUAGAACACUGCUGUUAUGCCAAGAAGGUGUAUUCAUUCAUAUCAAAACAGCCUUCUUGUUAGCACUGUGUUGAGUACAGGGUUAUGAGCUACACUACCUUGUACAUCUUUAGAACACUGCUGUUAUGCCAAGAAGGUGUAUUCAUUCAUAUCAAAACAGUAUUUCUAUUCACUGUAAUUUGAAGUACUGUAUUGGUAUUGUAAUCCACAACACUUGUAUUCCCUCCCUGAUCUUAGAUAACUUUACAACACUGCUAAACCCAAUUAUGACAAGAAGGUAUUU
Molecule: long non-coding RNA, 3810 nt
Organism: Eriocheir sinensis (Chinese mitten crab)
Lineage: Eukaryota; Metazoa; Arthropoda; Malacostraca; Decapoda; Varunidae
Exons: 5
Source: RefSeq, a predicted model, not a curated record